RNAcentral lists this ribosomal RNA (487 nucleotides) under uncultured bacterium. RNAcentral describes it as "bacterial SSU rRNA". It matches the Rfam family "Bacterial small subunit ribosomal RNA", at positions 28 to 514 of the family's 1533-position model. The record is from RNAcentral.
GAUGAACGCUGGCGGCGUGCUUAACACAUGCAAAUCGAACGAAGCACUUAUGAUUGAGAUUUCGGUUGAUUGAUUAAGUGACUUAGUGGCGGACGGGUGAGUAACGCGUGGGUAACCUGCCUUGUACAGGGGGAUAACAGUUAGAAAUGACUGCUAAUACCGCAUAACCCGCUAAGGUCGCAUGACCUAGACGGAAAAGAUUUAUCGGUACAAGAUGGACCCGCGUCUGAUUAGCUAGUUGGUGAGGUAACGGCCCACCAAGGCGACGAUCAGUAGCCGGCCUGAGAGGGUGACCGGCCACAUUGGGACUGAGACACGGCCCAAACUCCUACGGGAGGCAGCAGUGGGGAAUAUUGCACAAUGGGGGAAACCCUGAUGCAGCAACGCCGCGUGAGUGAAGAAGUAUUUCGGUAUGUAAAGCUCUAUCAGCAGGGAGAAAAAUGACGGUACCUGACUAAGAAAGCCCCGGCUAACUACGUGCCAGCAG